Molecule: ribosomal RNA, 252 nt
Filed under: uncultured bacterium
Lineage: Bacteria
Description: partial 16S ribosomal RNA
Rfam family: Bacterial small subunit ribosomal RNA
Source: RNAcentral
UACGUAGGGUGCAAGCGUUGUCCGGAAUUAUUGGGCGUAAAGGGCUCGUAGGCGGUCUGUCGCGUCGGGAGUGAAAACUCAGGGCUUAACCCUGAGCCUGCUUCCGAUACGGGCAGACUAGAGGUAUGCAGGGGAGACUGGAAUUCCUGGUGUAGCGGUGGAAUGCGCAGAUAUCAGGAGGAACACCGGUGGCGAAGGCGGGUCUCUGGGCAGUAACUGACGCUGAGGAGCGAAAGCGUGGGAGCGAACAGG